UCAACUUGAGAGUUUGAUCCUGGCUCAGAACGAACGCUGGCGGCAGGCUUAACACAUGCAAGUCGAACGCCCCGCAAGGGGAGUGGCAGACGGGUGAGUAACGCGUGGGAAUCUACCGUGCCCUGCGGAAUAGCUCCGGGAAACUGGAAUUAAUACCGCAUACGCCCUACGGGGGAAAGAUUUAUCGGGG
This 190-nucleotide ribosomal RNA is filed under the name Agrobacterium tumefaciens. Its description in RNAcentral is "partial 16S ribosomal RNA". It matches the Rfam family "Bacterial small subunit ribosomal RNA", at positions 1 to 220 of the family's 1533-position model. Lineage: Bacteria; Pseudomonadati; Pseudomonadota; Alphaproteobacteria; Hyphomicrobiales; Rhizobiaceae. The record is from RNAcentral.